GCGGGUGUAGUUCAAUGGUAGAACUUCGUCCUUCCAAGACGAUAGCGUGGGAUCGAUUCCCAUCACCCGCUCCA
This 74-nucleotide transfer RNA is filed under the name Francisella tularensis subsp. holarctica. Its description in RNAcentral is "tRNA-Gly". It matches the Rfam family "tRNA". Rfam says of the family: Transfer RNA (tRNA) molecules are approximately 80 nucleotides in length. Their secondary structure includes four short double-helical elements and three loops (D, anti-codon, and T loops). Further hydrogen bonds mediate the characteristic L-shaped molecular structure. tRNAs have two regions of fundamental functional importance: the anti-codon, which is responsible for specific mRNA codon recognition, and the 3' end, to which the tRNAs corresponding amino acid is attached (by aminoacyl-tRNA synthetases). tRNAs cope with the degeneracy of the genetic code in two manners: having more than one tRNA (with a specific anti-codon) for a particular amino acid; and 'wobble' base-pairing, i.e. permitting non-standard base-pairing at the 3rd anti-codon position. Lineage: Bacteria; Pseudomonadati; Pseudomonadota; Gammaproteobacteria; Thiotrichales; Francisellaceae. The record is from RNAcentral.